This 88-nucleotide transfer RNA is filed under the name Didymella heteroderae. RNAcentral describes it as "tRNA-Tyr". It matches the Rfam family "tRNA". Rfam says of the family: Transfer RNA (tRNA) molecules are approximately 80 nucleotides in length. Their secondary structure includes four short double-helical elements and three loops (D, anti-codon, and T loops). Lineage: Eukaryota; Fungi; Ascomycota; Dothideomycetes; Pleosporales; Didymellaceae. The record is from RNAcentral.
CUCCGCUUGGUGUAGUUGGUUUAUCACGUUCGACUGUAAUGGCUUCAUUGUUAUCGAAAGGUCCCUAGUUCGAUUCUGGGAGCGGAGA